CCCCUAGCAACCUGAAAGAAAUUGAAAGCAGAAUUUUCCCCAGAUCCUCAAGAUAAGACACCUUGUCCAAGUGACACCUUGAUUUUACUCUUAUUAGGCUCUGAGCAGAGGACUUGGUUGAGUCUUCCUGUGCAUUGGUUUCUGAUCCUUUGAAAUGUAAGAAAAGAAAGUGAUUUGAUAUCAAAGUGUAAAGGGGAUCGGUACAGCAGUAAACCCUGCAGGAUACAGGACAUCAGUCAGGUGCAGUGUAAGCAAUCUUGGACAACGAAGUUUUUUUAGAUCAAAUCCUGCUCUGGGAAGAGAAAAAUCAACUUGCAUUCUGAUGUACAAAUCUACAGCAGCUUACUGGGUCACUAUGGAAAGGGUACUUACCUUGACAGCAAAUAAUAAAUUAAUUUCUAAUUAAAAGAGGUGAUUUUUUUGUAUUUCAAAGCAUUCUCAGUUAUUUUGGCAUUUGCACCUAUUGUCUUACACUCCCUACAGACUAUUGUAUAUAAUUUACUGCACUUUUCCUCCAUUUGUCAUUUCUAUUUAAUAAUAAUAGCAUCGUAGACAAUAACUUUAGCAUUAAUGCAUUUUAUUAUCUAACUUUAUGGAUAUGAUCUGUUUCACCUGUUUGGGAUCUGUAAGAAAGGUUACUACUCUUUCAAUCUUCAAAAUAUAUGCAAUAGGAUUCUGAGUCCCCAGCAAAUCGAUUCUUCUUUGGGGUUCCCUCCCAAAUGA
RNAcentral lists this long non-coding RNA (723 nucleotides) under Homo sapiens (human). RNAcentral's name for it is "HSALNT0080523". The record is from RNAcentral. Lineage: Eukaryota; Metazoa; Chordata; Mammalia; Primates; Hominidae.